UGUAUCCUGCUAGAUGUGUGGUAGUGGUACCGGCCAGGGGACGUCUGAGGGCUCAUUAGGACCAGCCCUGUAUCCUGCUAGAUGUGUGGUAGGUGUACCGGCCAGGGGACGUCUGAGGGCUCAUUAGGACCAGCCCUGUAUCCUGCUAGAUGUGUGGUACUGGCCAGGGGACGUCUGAGGGCUCAUUAGGACCAGCCCUGUAUCCUGCUAGAUGUGGGGUAGUGGUACCGGCCAGGGGACGUCUGAGGGCUCAUUAGGACCAGCCCUGUAUCCUGCUAGAUGUGUGGUAGGUGUACCGGCCAGGGGACGUCUGAGGGCUCAUUAGGACCAGCCCUGUAUCCUGCUAGAUGUGUGGUAGGUGUACCGGCCAGGGACGUCUGAGGGCUCAUUAGGACCAGCCCUGUAUCCUGCUAGAUGUGUGGUAGUGGUACUGGCCAGGGGACGUCUGAGGGCUCAUUAGGACCAGCCCUGUAUCCUGCUAGAUGUGGGGUUCCUCUUGGUCUGUUGGUUUUCCGGAAGCCUACCCAAGGUGAGAAGCCUACCCAAGGUGAGAAGCCUACCCAGGGUGAGAAGCCUACCCAAGGUGAGAAGCCUACCCAAGGUGAGAAGCCUACCCAAGGUGAGAAGCCUACCCAAGGUGAGAAGCCUACCCAAGGUGAGAAGCCUACCCAAGGUGAGAAGCCUACCCAAGGUGAGAAGCCUACCCAAGGUGAGAAGCCUACCCAAGGUGAGGAAAAGAACAGGUGGGUUUUUAUUUCGAUAGACUAUGCAGUCUUGAGUGCUGAACGCUGAUGGUUUGUGUUUUUCAGGGGUUGGGGUCAGAGACGGUGGGACGGGAGCGUCCCAAAUCAAGUCCAAUUCACAGGACGGAGAUCUCGCUUUAAGAACAUGAAGGGCAAGUCUGCAAAGAAGGGUAAAGACUGGAUCCUGGAGGGGAGGAGAAGACAGGGCAGGGAGGAGUGAUGAAUAUGUGUGUGCGUUAAAGAACCAAAUGCUGCCCGCGGCCAGUGACGGACUUCUACGUCACAGAAGACAGGGCAGGGAGGUCCGAGCUGACAGAACGUACACUGCCCGUCAGAGAAGGCCUCACUCCUGAACCCCAGUCAGUCCUGUAUGUUCCGGCCUGGAGGUUCACCCUUAUGGAAUACUACUGUCCUGUGGACAGAAUCUGGACACAGACGGGCCCCUCUCGAGGACAUGGUCCCAAUCCUCUGGACAGAAACUGGCCCCUCUCUAGGACAUGGUCCCAAUCCUCUGGACAGAAACUGGCCCCUCUCUAGGACAUGGUCCCAAUCCUCUGGACAGAAACUGGCCCCUCUCUAGGACAUGGUCCCAAUCCUCUGGACAGAAACUGGCCCCUCUCUAGGACAUGGUCCCGAUCCUCUGGACAGAAACUGGCCCCUCUCUAGGACAUGGUCCCAAUCCUCUGGACAGAAACGGGCCCCUCUCUAGGACAUGGUCCCAAUCCUCUGGACAGAAACUGGCCCCUCUCUAGGACAUGGUCCCAAUCCUCUGGACAGAAACUGGCCCCUCUCUAGGACAUGGUCCCAAUCCUCUGGACAGAAACUGGCCCCUCUCUAGGACAUGGUCCCAAUCCUCUGGACAGAAACAGGCCCCUCUCUAGGACAUGGUCCCAAUCCUCUGGACAGAAACGGGCCCCUCUCGAGGACAUGGUCCCAAUCCUCUGGACAGAAACUGGCCCCUCUCUAGGACAUGGUCCCAAUCCUCUGGACAGAAACUGGCCCCUCUCUAGGACAUGGUCCCAAUCCUCUGGACAGAAACUGGCCCCUCUCUAGGACAUGGUCCCAAUCCUCUGUCCCUCUCUAGGACAUGAUAGACAUCAACAACAAAUGGACAGCAAAGAAAAUAAAUUCCCCUCUCUGAUCUUUGACCCAUUCUUCUGGACUAGAUAAUUUCCCCUCGAGCUGCUUAUUCUAUUUUAAAUGUUUGAUGUGGACCUUCUGUUUGAAAGCUUGAAUUAAACAUGUUCUGUAACAUGUCUUCAACUGCACAGUUGGUAAAGGCCUUGAGAGGAAGCCAUUUCACUGUGAGGUCUACUACACCUGUUGUAUUCAGCAUUUCACUGUGAGGUCUACUACACCUGUUGUAUUCAGCAUUUCACUGUGAGGUCUACUACACCUGUUGUAUUCAGCAUUUCACUGUGAGGUCUACUACACCCUGUU
Molecule: RNA transcript, 2183 nt
Organism: Oncorhynchus masou masou (cherry salmon)
Lineage: Eukaryota; Metazoa; Chordata; Actinopteri; Salmoniformes; Salmonidae
Exons: 5
Source: RefSeq, a predicted model, not a curated record